RNAcentral lists this ribosomal RNA (419 nucleotides) under bacterium. RNAcentral describes it as "partial 16S ribosomal RNA". It matches the Rfam family "Bacterial small subunit ribosomal RNA", at positions 355 to 776 of the family's 1533-position model. The record is from RNAcentral.
UGGGGGAUAUUGCACAAUGGGCGAAAGCCUGAUGCAGCGACGCCGCGUGGGGGAUGAAGGCCUUCGGGUUGUAAACUUCUUUUGCUCUGAACAAGGCAUGCUAAUGGGUGUGUUGAGUGUAGGGGUUGAUUAGCGCCGGCUAACUACGUGCCAGCAGCCGCGGUAAUACGUAGGGCGCGAGCGUUGUCCGGAAUUAUUGGGCGUAAAGUGCUUGUAGGUGGCUGGUUGCGUCUGUCGUGAAAGCUCAUGGCUUAACUGUGGGUUUGGGGUGGGUACGGGCUGGCGUGAGUGCAGUAGGGGGGGAUGGAAUUCCUGGUGUAGCGGUGGAAUGCGCAGAUAUCAGGAGGAAUACCGGUGGCGAAGGCGGGUCUCUGGGCUGUUACUGACACUGAGGAGCGAAAGCAUGGGGAGCGAACAGG